AGUGAACGCUGGCGGUAGGCCCAACACAUGCAAGUCGAACGGCAGCACAGUAAGAGCUUGCUCUUACGGGUGGCGAGUGGCGGACGGGUGAGGAAUACAUCGGAAUCUACUUUUUCGUGGGGGAUAACGUAGGGAAACUUACGCUAAUACCGCAUACGACCUACGGGUGAAAGCAGGGGAUCUUCGGACCUUGCGCGAUUGAAUGAGCCGAUGUCGGAUUAGCUAGUUGGCGGGGUAAAGGCCCACCAAGGCGACGAUCCGUAGCUGGUCUGAGAGGAUGAUCAGCCACACUGGAACUGGAACACGGUCCCAACUCCUACGGGGGGCAACAAUGGGGAAUAUUGGACAAUGGGCGCAAGCCUGAUCCAGCCAUACCGCGGGGGUGAAGAAGGCCUUCGGGUUGUAAAGCCCUUUUGUUGGGAAAGAAAAGCAGCAGGUUAAUACCCCGCUGUUCUGACGGUACCCAAAGAAUAAGCACCGGCUAACUUCGUG
RNAcentral lists this ribosomal RNA (492 nucleotides) under uncultured bacterium. Its description in RNAcentral is "partial 16S ribosomal RNA". It matches the Rfam family "Bacterial small subunit ribosomal RNA", at positions 29 to 507 of the family's 1533-position model. The record is from RNAcentral.